UAGAACAUUACAAGUCUCGAGACCGCGAGUAGCGAGUUUGUCUUCACAUUACAAGUCGAUAUCGAUCAUCUAAACUACCAUCACAUAGAAGAGAGCUGCGGGCAUCACUACCAUCUGUGUGUGCGCUGCCAUCAUCAGUGGUGGCAUCCUCGGCGGCACCAUCAGUGGUGUCAUCCCCGACGUCACUAGGGGUUGUGUAGUCGGGAUCGGUGUCUUCCG
This 219-nucleotide long non-coding RNA is filed under the name Hordeum vulgare. RNAcentral's name for it is "long non-coding RNA (HVUL_LNC021522)". The record is from RNAcentral. Lineage: Eukaryota; Viridiplantae; Streptophyta; Magnoliopsida; Poales; Poaceae.